GGAGGCGUCGCCUAACUGGUAGGGCAGCAGCGUGCUAAGCUGCCGGGCUUUCGAGCCUAUGUGCGUUCGACUCGCACCGCCUCCGUCA
This 88-nucleotide transfer RNA is filed under the name Acidobacteriota bacterium. RNAcentral describes it as "Acidobacteria bacterium tRNA-Ser". It matches the Rfam family "tRNA". Rfam says of the family: Transfer RNA (tRNA) molecules are approximately 80 nucleotides in length. Their secondary structure includes four short double-helical elements and three loops (D, anti-codon, and T loops). Lineage: Bacteria; Pseudomonadati; Acidobacteriota. The record is from RNAcentral.